UGGAAAUUUAGCUUAUCACAUUGUCCUUUAAAUAUCUUCUCUUGCAAGGAAAUUAUUCGCACACUGAAUCUUAUGCGGACAAUUAUAAUCAUUAAUGAAAAGAAAUUAGGACUAUUAGCAUUCUGGAAAAGAUUUUCCUAGAACUCAAGGACCUUGUUCUUGUAGCUCUGAGCAAUAUAAUGAUUCCUUCAAACACGCAGAAUAACUUGCGCCUAUUUUUUCCUGUGUGGCUUUACACCGCUUUUCAACAGGAGUUACUAAACGGUGGAAUAUUCCAGUACUCACUACAGGUCGCUAAACCUUUUGUGGAGUCAGCCGUUAGAAAAGAUAGAGUUUAAUCAGCUGGGCUCAGAUUCUCCUAAAAAAGAAGAAUGAAAGAAUUUUGGAGAUAUGUGAUUCGAGAAUUCUGAUGGAAGCAUAACAUGUUUCAGCAGUCAUACGGCCAACAUAUGUGUCUGUUCAACACAUAGUUCAACAUAAUGAACAGAUCAGGCUAAUAAAACUUUCUAAUAAAAGUGAUAGGUUAGAUUGCCGCAUGGUAAAGCAUUCGCUUACCAUUUUGGAGGUUGCAAGUUCAAAUCCGAGUCCCAUCCCACAACACCAAGUUUUUCAGAAGUCCAGACUCGGAGGUUAAAUCUCAUGCUUCAGCAUUCCGGUUGAUCCCAUGAUGGGUAAUGAACUCUAAAGGUGGCAACCACUAGGUAUAGAAUAUCCCAAAUGGUCAGCUGAAUGGGCAUGAUGGAAGCAUGCUGUUUCCACUCUGGAGGAUCAACGUUCAGUUCUCGAAUCUCACACUUCCAGAUUUUUUCAGGAGGGUCCAGCCUUGGACCGUUGAAUCUCAUUUUCUACCUGACGCUGACCCCUUCAGGAAUAUGGGUUUCCCGUGGUGGAAAUUGGAAUGCCUCGCUGUUUAGUACCUAUACGGUGGGAAGCAGCGUAAAACGUCGGCCGGAUUGGCCGCAUGGAAACACUUCGGCUUUCCACUCUGGCUUUCUCCGGAUUCGCAUCUCGGGUCCCACCCCUUG
Molecule: long non-coding RNA, 1025 nt
Filed under: Androctonus crassicauda
Lineage: Eukaryota; Metazoa; Arthropoda; Arachnida; Scorpiones; Buthidae
Source: RNAcentral